Molecule: small RNA, 368 nt
Filed under: Histoplasma ohiense
Lineage: Eukaryota; Fungi; Ascomycota; Eurotiomycetes; Onygenales; Ajellomycetaceae
Description: hypothetical lncRNA
Source: RNAcentral
AUUACAAUUUAUUAUAAGUAUUAUAUUCUAUAUAAUAACUCAAGAAAUAUUUUCAGCAGCAACUAUAUCUUCUACUAUUGAUAAAAAAAUAUAUGAUAUAAAUAAUAUAAUAAAAGAUAUAAAAUCAGAUAUUGAAAUAUAUCAAAAGAAAAAUAAUAUACAAGAUUCAAUACUGUCUUCAGAAGAUGAAGAUUUUAAUGAUUUUAUAUUCAGUAAAUUAAAUUUGUUACAAUCUAUAAAUAAACCAGAUAUGAUUUUGACCUCUAGAGCGUGGUAUUGUCAUGAAAUUCCAUGUAUAAAUGAAAUGGAUUGUUUGCACCAACCUGGUUCUAGAUUAGACUGUCAUGGGUGUAAUAAAUCACGGGGGA